AACAAGGCGUACCUGCGGACCUGCGGAGGGAUCAUUACUGAGUCACGUGCUCAAACAACCCUUCUGUGGACCUGAAAUAAAACCGUUGCCUCGGCGGGCGGUCCCCCCCAAACCAACCCCACGUGGUGGGUUAGGGGAGACCAGACAGUCCGGUACGCUUAAGGCGUCCGGCGCCAGCCGCUGGCUCCAAACAAUUAAACUCUAGUAAUCUUUACCUUCUGAAUUUCAAUAUUUAAAAAU
RNAcentral lists this unclassified non-coding RNA (240 nucleotides) under soil metagenome. RNAcentral's name for it is "partial contains 5.8S ribosomal RNA, internal transcribed spacer 2, and large subunit ribosomal RNA". The record is from RNAcentral.